Molecule: non-coding RNA, 112 nt
Organism: Caerostris darwini
Lineage: Eukaryota; Metazoa; Arthropoda; Arachnida; Araneae; Araneidae
Source: the annotation of a GenBank genome assembly
AACGGCCGUACCAUGCUGAAUAUACCGGUUCUCGUUAGAUCACCGAAGUCAAGCAUCAUUGGGCGCGGUCAGUACUUGGGUGGGUGACCACCUGGGAACACUGCGUGCCGUU